UACGUAGGGUGCGAGCGUUGUCCGGAAUUAUUGGGCGUAAAGAGCUCGUAGGCGGUGUGUCACGUCGGCCGUGAAAACCUGGGGCUUAACUCUGGGCGUGCGGUCGAUACGGGCAUCACUAGAGUUCGGCAGGGGAGACUGGAAUUCCUGGUGUAGCGGUGAAAUGCGCAGAUAUCAGGAGGAACACCGGUGGCGAAGGCGGGUCUCUGGGCCUUACCUGACGCUGAGGAGCGAAAGCGUGGGUAGCGAGCAGG
Molecule: ribosomal RNA, 254 nt
Filed under: uncultured bacterium
Lineage: Bacteria
Description: partial 16S ribosomal RNA
Rfam family: Bacterial small subunit ribosomal RNA
Source: RNAcentral